Manis javanica (Malayan pangolin) is the source of this 7117-nucleotide long non-coding RNA. RefSeq lists it as uncharacterized. The record is from RefSeq and is a predicted model, not a curated record. NCBI's taxonomy places the organism in Eukaryota, Metazoa, Chordata, Mammalia, Pholidota, Manidae.
UUAUUCCAGCCUGUGAGCUCCUGUUAACCGGAGCUUGUGUGUUUGUGUGUGUGUGUGUGAGAGCUCCACUCUGUGAGCUCCUGUUAACAGGAGUGUGUGUGUGUGUGUGUGUGUGUGUGUGUGUGUGUGUGUGUGUGUGAGCUCCGCUGUCUGGUGUCUGGUACUGUGUUGAGAAGGGCUGUGGGAAGGGCUCAGGCUACAUCAACCCCAGUGAGUGUGGAGGGAGGAGGGAGGAGUGGAGCCCUAGCUCUGAGAAUCUUAGCUACUCCUGCACUCUUCAUACCUCUCAUUUACUGACUCUCUUACCAUGUAGUUAAAUGAUCACAGCUUCAGUUUUUAAAAAAUAUUUCAGAAAGCUCUAAUUUCCCUUAUUACAAAAGGAGAACAUUCAUUUCAAAAAUAAGUUACAUUCAUUGAUAAAAAUGUAAAAAAAAUAGCAUGCAAAUAAGUGAGAAGGGAAAGCUGAAAGUUGGGGUGGUUUGCUUCUGGCCACACAGGGGCCCUGGGGCUGCGGCGGUGGAGGAACAAAGCUCCAGGGAGGCUGCUCUGUCUGUGUUUCCGUCCACAGCUCACUGUAGCAGGGCUUCUGGGCUGCGCUGUUCUUUGAAGGGCACCAGCACGGGUGGUCUGGGCAGCUGUCACUCAUCUCACCCUUUAAGGGCCGGCAGUGAUGGUCCCGAAGCCACGUGUGAGGAAGACGCAGAGCGUUGGCAGUUUCCCUUGGCCGGUCCUCUUCGGCUUGCUGCCCCAGCUGCCCUUCGGCCCGGGCUGCCACCUGAUCCCAACCCUCACCCCAGUUUAAGUAGGCAUGGGUGUCUCCCCAGGUGUCGGUAACCCACGUGCCCUUCGACUUCAAUUUUUUACAGGGUUGGUUUUGAGGAAGGCAGCUGGCAGUCUAGCAGGAACCAGAAACUCCUGGGGAUAAUUUCUAAGCUACAUAACCUAAGGAAUUCAUGGAAAAACAAGACCUAUAACUGUUAUUAGGCUUAAUAAAAAUAGUCUACAUUGGGCAAGUCCAUAAACAUGUUUUUAAUGUGGUAUUAGGUCUACAUUUUUCUGACAAAGAUUUAAAAAUGUGUAUUUAAAUUUCAGCUUGGGCACUUUCUACCUGUGAGGCCUCAGAAAAUUUAUUUAGCUUUCUGAGCCUCAGUUUCCUUAUCUGUAAAAUGGGAAUAAUAUUACUUACCUCAUGUUUCUGGAGAAUCAAAUGUGUCUGAACUGUUCAGACAUACUUAAAACACUUAUCACAGUGUCUGGCACAUAGACCACCUCCACGGUAAACCUCUUUCAUGUGGUUUAGAGCCCAUCCCUCUUCUUUCCCAGAGGAGGGUGCCUGGACACCCUGCUUUCCCUAGACACCCUGAUUAUCAGAGUAGGGUUGGCUGCUUUGUGCUUACUGGGAUAUUUGGCUUGUACAAGGAAACAACCAUGGUUCCAGCUUUUAGCCCCAGUAUUUUUUUUUAAUUGAAGUAUAGCUGAUAUACAACAUUGUAUUGGUUUCAGGUGUACAAAUAGUUAUUAGCUUUUUAAGACUACUAUGAGUUAAGCUCUUUAGUUGGCAUUCUGGUACAUUCUUGAGCUCAUCCUUAAGUUGAAGUGAAUGUUCAUUGUUAGUAAUUUAUGUUAUCCAGCCUGGCUUAUGUCCCAGGCUAGAAAAAUGCAUGUUUAACCUAAUGGAGACAGAGUGUGUAGGGCAAAUAUUCUCUCCUUGAAGCAACCAUUGCUGUCUGAUCCCUAGCCCUGGGGAAGAGGGUAGGGUAUGUUGGGAAGACAGGUCCUACCAUACGAGCAAAAAAAGCUGCUGUGUGUUUCUUCUGUUUUAGACUAUUAUUAUUUUUUAAAGUGUAACAAAAAGCCAUAUGUAUUAUUAAGUGCAUUGAAAAUAAAAUGUUCUUCAAUUGCAUUGUAGUGGGUCAGUUUGAAUGAUGAGGUGGUCUUUAUGACAUGUCUUGACGUUCAGCUUUACUUCACAGAGCCCAGUGCAGAAAGACAGGGACGUACCAGCCAGUGUUUUUAGUAUUCAUUGAAUUGCUCAGUGAUUUUUUUUAAGCCUCCCAUGGUACCCAAAACAUAACAACAAACCUUCUCUAACAUAAAAAUAUAGCGUAUUUCAAGAAAAACUUGGUAUAUGUAUGCUAAAAAGUUAUCUAUGGGAGGAAGGAUGACAUAUAAUUGAAUACCCUUCUGAAAUUUUCCAUAAUAAGUAUGUAUUAUUUGAUAAUAAAAAUGUUACUUAAAAGUCUAAACACUUUGUAGUUAAUGAUAAUGAUAAUAGAAAAAUAUUCUGGGGAUUUAAAGUGUUUCAAGAGUUUAUUUUCUUCUAACAUCUGAGUGAGAAAGGGAGGAAAACUAUUAUUAGGUCCCUAAAACACGUGAGGAAGCAUUGGCUGGGAAAUUCUGUAACUCUGACCUAGACAAGUAAGUGAGAGAUCAGAAGACCUGAAUCCUCUCUCUGUGCUAAUUGCCUUUAUUUAUAGAAGGCUUAUGAUAUGCCAGGCAUUGUUUUAAACUAUUUUCUUGUAAUAUCUUACUUAUUCUCCACAUCUGCUUAAAGCAGUCAUUAAUAUUCUCCUUUUACAGAAGACACAACAGGAGAGCAGAGAGCAACCCCUAAGUGGCAGAGCUGGGAUUUAAAUAGAAAAAGGUUGGCUUCAGAGCAAGAAACUGCAAAAUGGAAAAGGCACACACAAAAGAGCAGUGUAUUCAGUGUGCUUUGCAUCUGUUUUUGAGAGCAACAGGAUGAACAGAAAGACAUGCUGAGGAGAUGCAGCAACUACUGCAGCAACUGAUCCUGCCCCGCCCAUGGGCUCCAGCUGGCAGAGUUGACAGUCUGGUGCUGUUUGCAGUGCGAUGGACCAUCGCUCUUCUAAAUGCAGAACAACCGCAUUGAGAGUGCCCGAUGGUUCUCAGACAGGAGCACCACCAGUGGAGCACGCGCCCCUCCUCGCCCUUCUGCGGGCUCUCUGGAAAUGACAGCAGAUCUAUAAUAAGGAAAUCAGUUUCCCAUCCACUUUUAUCACCUUUUAUUCCUGGUUAUUCUUAAGAGUGAGGAUAUGGUACUUACUUGUUCCAGGACAAAUGAGUUUCCUGCUGCCAGAGACUGUAGGCAUGUGGACGACUGUGUGUUGUGUUUGAAGUCAGCACUACACUUGGUAGGUGACAGGAAGUCAAAGCUAAGUUAAUCCGUUCCCUGGCAGCUGCACUGCACAGCCUUGGCAUGCUUUCUACCACGGCUCAUGCUGUGCUCAGAGAGUCCAUUUUUGUUGAUUUCCUCGUUUUCGACAUCAUGGUCUUGUGUUCCUUGAGCAUGGCACUGCUGUUUGUACACAGAGGAUGACCAUGUGGAAGGUUCCGGGAAGACAUCACUGGGAGUGUGCCUGCUCUUACUUGCCUUACCAAUGGAAUGCUUUUCCUUCUUUGGUUUUAAUGAAGACUAUGUUGAAAAGCUGUUAGGCACCUGGGAAACCAGGCAUCUGCUUCACUUAGAGGCAGCUUUAAUGAUUGAUUAAUCAUUUAUUUCGAGAAGACACCAGAAGAAAGAAUUGGACUUCAAGUGAGGAAUUGUACAUCAAUUUCCUUGCAUUGGAAAUGGAUUAGUAGAUAAUGUCACUUCAUGAGAUUUUACCACAGUUUUUUCAAAAGUUCUACACACAGGUGAGUUACCAACUUGUAUAGAAGCCAUUGGAGACACCCUUGCUUACUGACUUGAAUCUCAACUCUGUGUUGAUGUGCAGAAGCUCCAGUUGGGUUCAUAUUAGUCAUAUGCUUCAUUUCUUACUACAUUACUGGGUUAAACCAUUUUGCUCCUAGCAUUCAAAUGCUGCUCAAGUAGCAGUAACUCUCCUGGCCUAUAUUAAGACAUCUCCUUGAUCCAGUAAGCCACAGGCCCCCUGUAGUCACUCAGUUUUCUUUUAGAGACAAGGGGUCAUAUUGCUGUGGGUGGGCUCUGGUGUCCUCACCCAGCCUUCCUCAGAGUAGGUGACUGCCACCACCAGUGUAAUGAUGUCGCCCCUCAUCCCCAGCUGGGCCGUCUCUGUGGCCCUGGCCUUGGGCUUGGGCUCUGAGUCUGCUGCCUGGUGAGGGUACCAAGUGCUGCCCGGGGGCCCUACCCCACGGUACAGCCUUGGACUUACCUCCACCCUCCUCAGGUGCAAACCCUGAUUCUACUAAUGCAGUGGGAGAAGCCUCCCACCCAGCCUCACUCGCAUUUAUCACACAUUUUGGAUGUCAUACGGGAGUAAGUACUGUGGGAGGGAGUGCAGGUUACAGGCCCGUUCCUGGGAACAUGCCUGCAGGAUUGGCAGUGACUCCUGCCAGGCAAAGGGGGAGUUUCAGUGGGAGACAGGAGAAAAUGGGACAAUGGCAACAGAAAGUUUCCUGGAUUCACCAGAGAGCAUUCAUGGUUCUUGGGAUCAGCGAGCAUUCCAGUGAGCCCACGGCUGAAGGAUGCUGAUGAACAUAGGAUGGUGUCCCUCUGGAAUCUGGGACCGGCACCACCGAACUUACACACUCUCACAUGUCUCUGAUGUUUUUCCUGUUUCCCUGCACGUGGCUUAUCGUGUACUUAAUUACAGGCUCAGCUAGUGCAGAAAGUCCCAUUUCUUUUCACAUGCACUAACAUGCUUGUCCUUUCUGCCCACAGUUUGCCUCGCACCUCAUCUUCUCUGGGCACACCUGGUCCUAGCAGUCAUCGGCCCUCCGCCCAAAUGCCUUGGGUGCCGCCUUGCGGGGCCUUAAGUGCAUGGCUCAGCGUUGCGCCCUCUGCUGCUCUGCCUCAAGGCGGCCGGGGAGUCAAAGCCAUGAGCCCUAUUCCCCAGGCUGGGAGUGCCCAGCCUUACUUUCUCAAAAGCAGGACAUCAACAGCUUCUCUCCCUCUCCUCCAUCCCUCCACCCUGGGUUUUUCCCCCUGAAAUUGUAUUCUUGGGUGGCUCUUUUCCCUUCCUUCACCCCUUAGUAAAUCAUAGUGCCUGUGAAUUUCUACUUCUAGGGAACCUGCCUAAGACAGGUUGUUAGCCCACCUAUAAAGGAAAAAAUGGACACUUCAAAGUAAAAUAUACUGUUCCUCCUAUUUCUGUCUUUUCUGCUAAUUCAAGGUAUUAACCACAGCAUUUGAAUCUCCAAAUUUUGAGCAUAAGUGAUUCAUGUCUGGGUUUAUUCAUUUAGAAUCAACUAGUAUCUGUUACAGAAAAGGACUCUGGACCCUAGAGGAGGCAGGAGUCGGGGUGAUAGAGCUCUGCCCUCUCUCUGCUGAUAUAGCACCACUGUCUCCUCCUCUGGCCAUUGGAGGAGACUUAUUCCAUAGGGUCUUGAAGGAUUUCAGCAUCUCGGGAAACCUCUGAUACGUGGCCCUGGAGUUUUAGAAGUAAAUUAUUAAGUAGGACACCUUGAACUUUUGAGUCCAAGGGGGACGGAUCCUUUUGGGUGGUGGGGAUACAGGACUGCUGUACCAAAUGUGUGUUUUGUGACCAGGCAGCGAGCUGUGGUGAAAUACCCAAGGCCUCAUGUCCCUACUUCCCUCAGUCUUUCUGGGGCUCCACUCUGGGGGGCUUUGCUUUCCUCCUCCAUGACCCUGCUGCGCCUUUCGGUCUGCAUCAGUGCGUAUCACAGCCCACUUGGCAAUGCUGGUGGCCUUUACCCUACUAUGAGGCUGCUGCUCCCUUGGGGGAAGGAACCUUGUUUUCAUAGUCUUCUUAUGCUGUUACCCAGCAUGAAUGAGGCCCUCGAAAUAUCAUGUCUGUUAUCACAUGGGUGGAGCUGGCAUUUUUACUGAGUUAGAUCUGAAUACUUAAAUCCCUUACAUAGUCAUUACAUCCUGCCCCCCUGACUUUGGGUGAGAAAUGAAGCUGUAGGUAAGAUGACUCCAUUUCACAAGCAGGGUUUUUGUGAACAGAAAGCUUUGUUCUGAAGCACUUGGGGAGGGCUGAAACUUUUGAAAGAAAUGCUUUAACUCAAAGAAAAUUAUCACAGAAGAUGGAAAGAGGAUACAUAGAAAGAACAAAUGAUUAAAUAUGUAUUAUAUAUUACCUGUUUAUAUAUUGAAAUUCACUUAAACACUAAAAAUUCGUGAAGAGAGAAGGAAAAUACUGAAUAUUGAUACUAGAUAACUAAAGUCACAUUGGAGUUAAUCCAAGAAGCAAUGAGAAAUUCAAGACUAAGGAACGUCCGGAUCAUUAAAAACCCUCACAUCAAAUCACACAAACCACUAGUGGUACUUGGGAACAGGUUUCUCUUCUACCUCACAGAGGUUGGUGAGAGAAUACAUGUUGUUUCCUUGCUCUGCUUUUUAGAGUUCCCUGCAGAAUGACAGAGAGGUAUCAGCCAUAUUUUUCUCAGUCUUCAUUACAUUUCUUGUUCUGAGCUUCAGUGAAGUGAUUUUUCCAAUCUCCCACAGCUCCUGAGAAAAGUAAUGUAUAGCAUAUUCAAUGACAUUUUCAUGAAACAUGACUAUUUUGCACUCAGAUAAUCCCUCUCCUCUGAAUACUUAAAUCCCUUACAUAGAAAUUACAUCCUGUCCCCCUGACUUUGGGUGAGAAAUGAAGCUGUAGGUAAGAUGACUCCAUUUCACAGGCAGGGCUUUUGUAAACAGAAAGCUUUGUUCUGAAGCACUUGGGUGAGGGCUGAAAUCUAGACCUCGGCUUCUGUGAUUCUCUGGAUCACACUCUUGAGCUCUCUGAUUUACCAGUAUUUUCUGAACCUUCAGUACAUGUAACAUUCUGUUUAAGUUAACUGGAUUGAAUUUUCCUAACGUCUCUUUAGAGGUCCUUGUAGGGCUGAUGGGAGUGGCUGUAUCUUCAGAGCAUUAUCUGCUUCUCCUAUUUUUGUCUCUAGUUCAGGCAAAACUCCUAGCUGAACAUAGCUGAGAAAGCUCCUUUCCAAUUUAAAUUAUUGCUGUUACAUAUAAUUAAAGAAAUAGAAUAUGAAGGAACAGUAGGGUUGUUUGACUUUGUUUCAUGCUUACACAAUACAGUAUUCAAAUAUUUUUUUAGCUUCAAUAAAUAAAAGUGGUCAGAGACUCCAUAGAAAGCUAUUUUUCUUCUAAUUGGUCAAUGUUUUUGAUUCACUUAGACUCUUUAAGAUGUGUGAUGUAAUUUUCAUGUGUGAAAUGUAAAUUUUCUUA